AGAAACAUUGGAAUCGUCAUGAGGAAAAAUCAAUAACCAACCAUAUGAGUUAUGCCCACAAUUUAGACCUCGCCUUGCUUGCGAAUUGUGGGGUUUUAAAGCUAGAAGCCCAUUAAACAUUGACAGACACCAUGUUGGGGCUUAAAAAGAUUUCACUACUUUGGAGAUGUUUAUCCCACAAAGAAGAAUGUAACGCAGUGGAAUUGAUAGGCAAGAGAAAGAAAGAAUACUCAAGGUAUUACACAAUAAUUUUAUUUACUCACAAACUAGUACAAGAGGAAACACUUAAAUACUCUUAGAAGCUUUGUUGCUUCUUCUCACUUCUCACUACUUGCUCUCUUGGUUGUUACAAAUGGUGUGGAUGCCUUCUCCUUUUAUAGGCAUGGAUGGAACCUUAGAGAAGCAUGGAAACAUCAUGCUAGAUAUAUCUAGAUAAUUCCACUACCUUCCUAUACUAGAAUUAUCUACACUAAUCUUGUAUGUUGGUGGAAUCCUCACCAUUCUUCUAGAUUCUUUCACCAACUUGAACUUUGCUAGAAUUCUCUAGCAUGUGCAUGGAUCUUUCUUUGUGCAUGGGCUAGAUCCAUUAUCUUUGGGCCAAGACAAGAUUACAAUUCAACAUCCCCCCUUAAUCUUGUCUUGUGACGCCGAUUGAUUCUCAAUCUAACAAAGUCUUCUUGUUUGAGUGGUUUGGUGAAUAUGCUGGCAACUUGGUCUUGAGACUUCAUGUAUUCAACUUGCACAUCCUUUCUUGCAAUACACUCUCUUAGGUAAUGAUAGCGGGUAUCUACGUGUUUGCUCUUGUCAUGGAAUACUGGAUUCUUUGCUAGAGCUAUUGCAGACUUGUUGUUAACAUAGAUCUCUGUUGGCUCUUCUUGUGGCAUGCUUAAUUCUUUCAGCAAGUUUCUUAGCCAGAUUGCAUGACAGACAUGAGGUAGCAGCUACGUAUUCAACUUCCCAGGUAGAGAGAGUGACAAUCGGUUGCUUCUUCGACAUCCAUGUGAAUGCAGUGUCUUCCAUGAAGAACACAAAUCCAGUAGUGCUUUUUCUAUCGUUGGAAUCUCCUACCCAAUCACUGUCACUAUAUCCAACAAGUUUCUAGUUACUAGAACUUGAAUAUAACAAGCCAAAGUUAAUAGUACCUUUAAGGUAUCGAAGAAGUCUUUUGGCUGUCUUCAAAUGUGUAGUUGUGGGAUUUUCCAUGUAGCGAUUGACUAAUCCGACGGCAUAGAGAAUAUCUGGUCUUGUGUAAGUCAAGUAGCGUAAGCUUCCAACUAAACUCUUGAAAAUUGUUGGAUAUAAACUUUCUCCUUCGUCAUACUUGGUUAGUUUAACUCCGCACUCCACUAGAGUGCUUAUGGGCUUGCAAUCAUUCAUUUUGAACUUUUUCAGUAUCUCCUUUAUGUAGCUUUCUUGGGAGAUGAAAAUGCCUUCUCCGUUCUACUUGACUUCAAUGCCUAGGUAGUAUGCCAUCAGCCCGAUGUCGGUCAUCUCGAAUUCUUUGGUCAUCACUCUCUUGAACUCUUCAUACAUGCUUGGAUUACUUCCGGUGAAGAUUAGAUCAUCCACAUAUAAGCACACAAUUAGAAUAUAUGCAUCCUUGACUUUGACAUAGAGAGCAUGUUCAUGAGGGCACUUGAUGAAGUUGUUUUCUUGGAAGUACUUGUCGAUGUGACUAUUCCAUGCUCUGGGCGCUUGUUUUAACCCAUAGAGGGCUUUCUUUAGCUUCAGAACUUUGUCUUCAUGCCCUUUGAUUUCAUAGCCUGACGGUUGCUGAAUGUACACUUCUUCUUCAAGGACUCCAUUUAGGAAAACGGACUUCACAUCCAUUUGUUGAAUCUUCCACUUGUUUUGAGCUGCCAAAGAAAUUAGUAAUCGUAUAGUUUCCAACCGAGCAACGAGUGCAAACACCAGACUCCCCAAUGAUGCAAAUUUCUAUUGCAUAUCUGACCAAAACAACCUUCACACAGAAUGUCCACUUAGAAGCCUACUUCUUACAACCAAUUUUAAAACAUGCAUAGAAAUUUUGCAUGUUGAUUUCUGAAAAACAAUCAGUAUCUAAGCUAGUAGAACUUUGGAAAUGCUUGACAACAUAAUACGUAUAGGGUGGACUAAUAUAUAUAUGUGUGUGUGUGUGUGUGUUUGUCCAACUGUCCAUAAAUUCCUUACCACAUCAACCUUGACCCAUUCGAAUCUAUAUAUUUGAAUUUGUUUAAAUUCCCAUGGCUACACUUCUUUACAAACACUUAUCAGCUGCUAAUAAUUAAACUGACCAACUAUGAUUACUGUGAUGAGCUAUAGGAUACAAAAUGUGUGAUAUAAUUAUGUUUGUUAAGUAAAACUAUUACACAGCUAAUGUUUCUCUCGCCUCUCUUUUCCUUCCAAUAAUGAUUGAUACAAAACAACCAUUCUUCAUUGGGAAUCAAGGAUUGCAACAUUAAUAUUAUCAAUGAUCAACAAUGUAAAUUGACCCAAAUAAAAGGAU
This 2485-nucleotide long non-coding RNA is filed under the name Malus domestica (apple). Its description in RNAcentral is "long non-coding RNA (MDOM_LNC017384)". The record is from RNAcentral. Lineage: Eukaryota; Viridiplantae; Streptophyta; Magnoliopsida; Rosales; Rosaceae.